AGAGUUUGAUCCUGGCUCAGAACGAACGCUGGCGGCAUGCCUAACACAUGCAAGUCGGACGCUUCAUGGGUUUCGGCUCAUGGGGAGUGGCGCACGGGUGAGUAGCGCGUGGGAACCUGUCCUCUUGUGGGGGAUAACCGAGGGAAACUUCGGCUAAUACCGCAUGCGCCCCGGGGAGACCUGGGGGAAAGAUUUAUCGCAGGAGGAGGGGCCCGCGUCGGAUUAGGUAGUUGGCGGGGUAACGGCCCACCAAGCCGAUGAUCCGUAGCUGGUCUGAGAGGAUGAUCAGCCACACUGGGACUGAGACACGGCCCAGACUCCUACGGGAGGCAGCAGUGGGGAAUAUUGGACAAUGGGCGCAAGCCUGAUCCAGCAAUGCCGCGUGAGUGAUGAAGGCCUUCGGGUUGUAAAGCUCUUUGGGCGGGGACGAUGAUGACGGUACCCGCAGAACAAGCCCCGGCUAACUUCGUGCCAGCAGCCGCGGUAAUACGAAGGGGGCGAGCGUUGUUCGGAAUCACUGGGCGUAAAGGGCGCGUAGGCGGCGCGGCAAGUCAGGCGUGAAAGCCCCGGGCUCAACCUGGGAAUGGCGCUUGGGACUGCGGUGCUGGAGUUCGGGAGAGGAGAGUGGAAUUCCCAGUGUAGAGGUGAAAUUCGUAGAUAUUGGGAAGAACACCGGUGGCGAAGGCGGCUCUCUGGACCGAUACUGACGCUGAGGCGCGAAAGCGUGGGGAGCAAACAGGAUUAGAUACCCCGGUAGUCC
RNAcentral lists this ribosomal RNA (760 nucleotides) under uncultured bacterium. Its description in RNAcentral is "bacterial SSU rRNA". It matches the Rfam family "Bacterial small subunit ribosomal RNA", at positions 8 to 796 of the family's 1533-position model. The record is from RNAcentral.